This 427-nucleotide ribosomal RNA is filed under the name uncultured Thermomonas sp. RNAcentral describes it as "bacterial SSU rRNA". It matches the Rfam family "Bacterial small subunit ribosomal RNA", at positions 353 to 772 of the family's 1533-position model. Lineage: Bacteria; Pseudomonadati; Pseudomonadota; Gammaproteobacteria; Lysobacterales; Lysobacteraceae. The record is from RNAcentral.
AGUAGGGAAUAUUGGACAAUGGGCGCAAGCCUGAUCCAGCCAUGCCGCGUGAGUGAAGAAGGCCUUCGGGUUGUAAAGCUCUUUUGUCCGGAAAGAAAAACCUUGGGUUAAUACCCUGAGGUUCUGACGGUACCGGAAGAAUAAGCACCGGCUAACUUCGUGCCAGCAGCCGCGGUAAUACGAAGGGUGCAAGCGUUACUCGGAAUUACUGGGCGUAAAGCGUGCGUAGGUGGUUUGUUAAGUCUGAUGUGAAAGCCCUGGGCUCAACCUGGGAAUUGCAUUGGAUACUGGCAGGCUAGAGUGCGGUAGAGGGUAGUGGAAUUCCCGGUGUAGCAGUGAAAUGCGUAGAGAUCGGGAGGAACAUCUGUGGCGAAGGCGACUACCUGGACCAGCACUGACACUGAGGCACGAAAGCGUGGGGAGCAAA